Long non-coding RNA from Daphnia pulicaria, 899 nucleotides. RefSeq lists it as uncharacterized. The transcript is spliced from 10 exons. NCBI's taxonomy places the organism in Eukaryota, Metazoa, Arthropoda, Branchiopoda, Diplostraca, Daphniidae. The record is from RefSeq and is a predicted model, not a curated record.
GCCCCCAUUUCUCGACAAAGGUUUCUUUUUUGCUGAAUUUCUGUACCAACGAUCAAUUCGUCUCGUGGCUCGGCCAUUGUCACAUUGGAAGCAGCAUGUCUGCGUGUCUUAACCAAGACCGGGACAUAGGAAUCUUAUUCUAUCACUGGUUCGCUGUUAAUGGGCUUGGUGUUAUAGGUUCAUCUCCCAAACCAUGAACUUCAAAAGGAGGAUUGGUGCAGUCAUAAGUUCUUUCCGAUGAUUCAUGUGUUGGGCAGUUUUGGCCUUGUUGGUCUCUUGUGGAGUACAUCUACUUGGCUUGCUUCAUUAAGAGGUCUCUUCUAGCAGGGCAGCGUGUCGCGUCUCCCACAGCGGGUGGUCUAUUGCUCUUUUAUUCCGCAGUUAGGUAGGAGUCAACACGGCCCUUCCUACCCGAAAGCUGAGUGAAAUCAGGGUUUCCUAUAUCAAACCUUUGAACUUCAUUAGAACGUGAAACUGAAGAAUGUCGUUGUGGCAUAUCUGCUGUGCAGUGGGUGCCAAUUAUGUUCCAACGAAUAUGCAGGCGAAUUUGUUUCACGAUUUGUGUCUUUCCCGUUGGAUGGGCUGUCGUUUCGUCGCAAGUCAAUGGGAGGAUUAGGCAUGGACAGGUACGUCGACCUGUAGGGCGAUUCGUUGUCGGGAGGCGACUGGGGCUUAUUCCAGUUGGCGUUUGGUGCUGAGCUGACGUUUCGGUUGGAUUUUCUAUGUCGUUUUUAAAUAUCCAGUUGUACACAUCCCUGCUGUCGAAAAUAAUAGUACGUAGUAUAUCCUUCGUCUUGUCUGGUACUGUAGACAUGGGGAGUGGAAAGCUACGCUACAUAUUUUGUCUCACUUAGUUAUGCUAAUUUGGGGGUAGUUAACAACUUUAUUUACUUUUAUAG